UCUGACUCAACUUGAACAGGUAAUAUAUGUACAUACUGACAAAAUUCAAGCAGCCAAAGGGGAACACAUAAAAGCAAGUCUCCACCUCUGGUUUCCAUUUUCCAUUCCUAAAGCAACGGUUCCCAGUUUCCCUCCGGAGCUGCUGUUAUAUGAUAACAAAGCAUUGAGGUUAAGAGCAUGUGUUGAGUUCACAAGAAGAAAAAUGAGUUUGAAAGAAAGAAGGACCUUACUGAUGGCCCCAUAGCCAAGAAGCAGC
Molecule: long non-coding RNA, 256 nt
Organism: Lemur catta (Ring-tailed lemur)
Lineage: Eukaryota; Metazoa; Chordata; Mammalia; Primates; Lemuridae
Exons: 3
Source: RefSeq, a predicted model, not a curated record